UGGCCAAACAUCCUUGUCAAAGCUUGAUCUUGUCAGAUCUCAGAAGCUAAGCAGGGCCGGGCCUUGUUAGUACUUGGAUGGAGGACUGCUGGAUGGGAAUACCAGGUGCCA
This 111-nucleotide ribosomal RNA is filed under the name Periophthalmus magnuspinnatus. Lineage: Eukaryota; Metazoa; Chordata; Actinopteri; Gobiiformes; Gobiidae. The record is from RNAcentral.